Molecule: ribosomal RNA, 796 nt
Filed under: Aspergillus cumulatus
Lineage: Eukaryota; Fungi; Ascomycota; Eurotiomycetes; Eurotiales; Aspergillaceae
Description: LSU rRNA
Rfam family: Eukaryotic large subunit ribosomal RNA
Source: RNAcentral
GGGGUCCGAGUUGUAAUUUGUAGAGGAUGCUUCGGGUGCGGCCCCCGUCUAAGUGCUCUGGAACGGGCCAUCGGAGAGGGUGAAAAUCCCGUCUGGGAUGGGGUGUCCGCGUCCAUGUGAAGCUCCUUCGACGAGUCGAGUUGUUUGGGAAUGCAGCUCUAAAUGGGUGGUAAAUUUCAUCUAAAGCUAAAUACUGGCCGGAGACCGAUAGCGCACAAGUAGAGUGAUCGAAAGAUGAAAAGCACUUUGAAAAGAGAGUUAAACAGCACGUGAAAUUGUUGAAAGGGAAGCGCUUGCGACCAGACUCGCUUCCGGGGUUCAGCCGGCUUUCGGGCCGGUGUACUUCCCCGGGGGCGGGCCAGCGUCGGUUUGGGCGGCCGGUCAAAGGCCCCUGGAAUGUAACGCCCCUCGGGGCGCCUUAUAGCCAGGGGUGUCAUGCGGCCAGCCUGGACCGAGGAACGCGCUUCGGCACGGACGCUGGCAUAAUGGUCGUAAACGACCCGUCUUGAAACACGGACCAAGGAGUCUAACAUCUACGCGAGUGUUCGGGUGUCAAACCCGUGCGCGCAGUGAAAGCGAACGGAGGUGGGAGCCCCCUCGAGGGGCGCACCAUCGACCGAUCCUGAUGUCUUCGGAUGGAUUUGAGUAAGAGCGUAGCUGUGGGGACCCGAAAGAUGGUGAACUAUGCCUGAAUAGGGCGAAGCCAGAGGAAACUCUGGUGGAGGCUCGCAGCGGUUCUGACGUGCAAAUCGAUCGUCAAAUUUGGGUAUAGGGGCGAAAGACUAAUCGAACCAUC